UACGUAGGCAGCGAGCGUUGUUCGGAGUUACUGGGCGUAAAGGGUGUGUAGGCGGUUCUUUAAGUUUGGUGUGAAAUCUCCCGGCUCAACUGGGAGGGUGCGCCGAAUACUGAGGGACUAGAGUGCGGUAGGGGAGCGGGGAAUUCCUGGUGUAGCGGUGAAAUGCGCAGAUAUCAGGAGGAACACCAGUGGCGAAGGCGCCGCUCUGGGCCGUGACUGACGCUGAGGAGCGAAAGCGUGGGUAGCAAACAGG
RNAcentral lists this ribosomal RNA (253 nucleotides) under uncultured bacterium. Its description in RNAcentral is "partial 16S ribosomal RNA". It matches the Rfam family "Bacterial small subunit ribosomal RNA", at positions 524 to 776 of the family's 1533-position model. The record is from RNAcentral.